Macaca fascicularis (crab-eating macaque) is the source of this 2295-nucleotide long non-coding RNA. Lineage: Eukaryota; Metazoa; Chordata; Mammalia; Primates; Cercopithecidae. The record is from Ensembl.
CAAAUGUGCACCUGUAUCAGCAUCACCCAGAGUAGGGUCAGAGUCUGGACUCCUGGGCCCCACCCAGAGUCGCUGUCAGGGGCCUGGGCUUUGCAUUUCCACAGGUUCCAGGUGCUGCUGCUGGAGCAGAGGCCACGCUCUGAGCACCUUGCUCUAGAAGAAGAGGUGCAGAAAAGCCCCUGGUGAAGAGCACUUCCUUCAGCAGCAGGCAGCACAGCGAUGGCCAAGUGUCCCUCUGGGGGAACAGACGUCUGCCCGUCCACGCCACUCAGCUGGGGUGAGGCCGCAGCAGCCUCCACCUUGCUCCACACAUGGCCAGCUUCUGGCCUUCCCUCACCACGCCGUGGGACUUCACGUGCAGAUCGCUUCCUGGCCUUCUCCCCUCGCGGUCCUGGGUUCUCUCCUCCUGGCCUUUGAGGCUGGAAUGUCCAGGCUCAGACUGGGGCCUUUGUCUCUGCUGACACCUCACUGCUGUCGUGACCUUGUCAUCCCUGUGCCGCUGACUGCAGGACGCGCAGCCGAGUCUCCUCGAACCUGCCCAGGUGGCCCCCAAGCAGGAUGCGUCCAACACACCUUGCUUCCCUCUGCCCGGCCUCAAGCCCCACUCCAGCCCCUGCUUUCUCAGUAAGGACGUCCCCAUUCCGUGGCUGCUCUGGCCAAAGACAGGAGAGUCACCCUUCCUCUUCUCUUCGGCUGGUACCUCCCAAGAUCCAGCCUGUGCUCCCAGCACUCCCACCUCGCACUUCCCCAUCCCCAGCUCUUCCCCCACCCUGCCCAAAGCCCUCCUGACCCUAUUCUUGUCUCAGUCUCUCUGCACACAGCAGCCAGAGAAUAAACAAACUAGCCCAACCCUUGGUAGGGCUGGUGUUCACCUUUGGAGUUAAAUUGCAAGUCCUCACCUGGCACCACAGUCACUCAGUGGGUGUCCCCUCCCUCUGAGUGCUCUCGCCCCACUGACCUGGGCAUUGUGGGGCCAUGCUCGCUCCCGCCUCGGGCCUCGGCACCUGUCCCCACCUGGCAUGCUGGCUUUGCUCCAAUGCCAACCCUUCGAAGAGGCCUUCCCUGAUCACCCUGUUGUAAACAGCACUGCCUGUCUCUCUGUUCCCUGAGUGUUCCUCAGGGCACUGUCACUGCCAGAUGCUGGUAUUUUUGUCUACUAUGGCCCCCACCCUGGCUGGUACACUCAGGAGGACAGGGGCUGCCUCCCCCAUGCCUACAAAGGCACCUGACACAGAGCCAGCUUUCUAUAUUGCGUGAAAGGUUCCGUCCAAGGACGCUGUAGAUGUAGGUGGACACAGGCAAAAACGAAGCAGGACAGCGGAGCUGUCCAAAGACCAGCAGUGUCUUCAGGCGAAGCUGCAGCAUCGAGCUCUGGUGCUUUUGAGGUUUCCACAGCAGAAACCUGACGGGCUCCUGGCACCUGGGAGAAAAGCCACUCCAGUGAGGAUUAUUGCCAGUGAAGGCUGCCCUGGCCCCAAACAAGGUUUCCUAGAAUUUAUGGCGGCAGGCACGUUGUUAAAGGAUGAUUCCCCAAAAGGGCCAGACGUGAUGUUCACAGGGAUGCAGGGUGAGCACGCGUCGAAGUGCUUCCCUAGCCCAGGCAGCUGUGAGGACCAGCUCAGAGGAGAAGUCCUGAAACUGACACUUACAGAUGAGGAAUUUUGACAUGAAUGUGCCAACGAACGCGAAACUGGAUUUUCAGGGGGCUGUGAUGGGCUGGAUUGUCUCCCUUAGAUUCAAAUGUUGAAGUCCCCCACACCCCAAUGUCUUAGAAUGCAACUGUAUUUGGAGGUAGACUUUAAAGAGAUGGUUGAAUUAAAAUGAGGCCCCAAAUUCAAUAUGACUGGUAUGUCUAUAAAAAGAGAAAGUCUGGACAUCUGGAGAUCAUCAGGGAGGCGUGACUGCACAGGGGAAAGACCCUGUGAGGCACAGCAAGAAGGCACCGUCUGCUCGCAGGAAACACCAACCCGUGACACCCUGACCUUAGACUUCCACCCCCCAGAACUGUGAGAAGUAGACCUCCUUGCACUGUAAAUCACUCAUUUUGUUACUGCAGUCCCAGAAAACUAACACAGACUCUUGCUGGGCAGAAUGCAUUUGCUUCUCUGCAGACAAGAUUAAUUUUGCACUAUUGCUACCAAAAUAGUUCUAUGGGACUGGGCGCCGUGGCUCACACCUGUAAUCCCAACACUUAGGGAGGCCGAGGCAGGUGGAGCACCUGAGGUCAGGAGUUCAAGACCAGCCUGGCCGACAUGGUUAAACCCCGUGUCUACUAAAAAUACCAAAAAAAAAAAA